AUUGAACGCUGGCAGCAGGCUUAACACAUGCAAGUCGAGCGCGCGGCGGACGGGUGCGUAAUGUCUGGGAAACUGCCUGAUGGAGGGGGAUCACUACUGGAAACGGUAGCUAAUACCGCAUACCAUAAGUUGUGCCCAGAUGGGUUUAGCUAGUAGGUGGGGUAAUGGCUCACCUAGGCGACGAUCCCUAGCUGGUCUGAGAGGAUGACCAGCCACACGGGAACUGAGACACGGUCCAGACUCCUACGGGAGGGAGCAGUGGGGAAUAUGGGACAAUGGGCGCAAGCCGGAUGCAGCCAUGCCGCGUGUGGGAAGAAGGCCUUCGGGUUGUAAAGCACUUUCAUCGAGGAGGCGGUACUCGCAGAAGAAGCACCGGCUAACUCCGUGCCAGCAGCCGCGGUAAUUC
Molecule: ribosomal RNA, 406 nt
Filed under: uncultured bacterium
Lineage: Bacteria
Description: partial 16S ribosomal RNA
Rfam family: Bacterial small subunit ribosomal RNA
Source: RNAcentral